RNAcentral lists this ribosomal RNA (279 nucleotides) under uncultured bacterium. RNAcentral's name for it is "partial 16S ribosomal RNA". It matches the Rfam family "Bacterial small subunit ribosomal RNA", at positions 506 to 784 of the family's 1533-position model. The record is from RNAcentral.
UGCCAGCAGCCGCGGUAACACGAACCGGACAAACGUUAUUCGGAAUCACUGGGCUUAAAGAGUACGUAGGCGGCCUCGCAAGUUGGGUGUGAAAUCCCACGGCUCAACCGUGGAACUGCGCUCAAAACUGCGUAGCUAGAGGGAGACAGGGGUGAGCGGAACUGAUGGUGGAGCGGUGAAAUGCGUUGAUAUCAUCAGGAACACCGGUGGCGAAGGCGGCUCACUGGGUCUCUUCUGACGCUGAGGUACGAAAGCUAGGGUAGCGAACGGGAUUAGAUA